RNAcentral lists this ribosomal RNA (253 nucleotides) under uncultured bacterium. RNAcentral describes it as "partial 16S ribosomal RNA". It matches the Rfam family "Bacterial small subunit ribosomal RNA", at positions 524 to 776 of the family's 1533-position model. The record is from RNAcentral.
UACGAAGGGAACUAGCGUUGUUCGGAAUUACUGGGCGUAAAGCGCACGUAGGCGGGUUGUUAAGUCAGGGGUGAAAUCCUGGAGCUCAACUCCAGAACUGCCUUUGAUACUGGCAACCUAGAGACUGGAAGAGGUUAGUGGAAUUCCCAGUGUAGAGGUGAAAUUCGUAGAUAUUGGGAAGAACACCAGUGGCGAAGGCGGCUAACUGGUCCAGUACUGACGCUGAGGUGCGAAAGCGUGGGGAGCAAACAGG